UGCACAGGCGGACUUUUAAGUCAGUGGUGAAAUCCCGAGGCUCAACCUCGGAACUGCCAUUGAUACUGGAAGUCUUGAAUUUGGUUGAAGUGGGCGGAAUGUAGCAUGUAGCGGUGAAAUGCUUAGAUAUGCUACAGAACACCGAUCGCGAAGGCAGCUCACUAAGCCAAUAUUGACGCUCAGGCACGAAAGCGUGGGGAGCAAACAGGAUUAGAUACCCUGGUAGUCC
This 229-nucleotide ribosomal RNA is filed under the name uncultured bacterium. RNAcentral's name for it is "partial 16S ribosomal RNA". It matches the Rfam family "Bacterial small subunit ribosomal RNA", at positions 568 to 796 of the family's 1533-position model. The record is from RNAcentral.